This 1035-nucleotide long non-coding RNA is filed under the name Anolis carolinensis (green anole). RNAcentral's name for it is "lncRNA (ENSACAG00000034840.1)". The record is from RNAcentral. Lineage: Eukaryota; Metazoa; Chordata; Lepidosauria; Squamata; Anolidae.
AUGUGGAGUUUCAGGGCCAGAAAAGCAGAUGGAGGAGGCAAAAGAAUGGUUUACCCCAAGGCAGCGUUCCCCAAGGCAGCGUUCUUGCACCAACCUUAUUUAAUAUCUUCACAAACGAUCAGCCACAACCACCACUCACAAAGAGCUUUAUAUAUGCUGAUGACCUUGGCCUUACAACACAACAGGAAACUGAAAGUUACUUGGGAAGGCCAAGAGCUCGAACACUGUUUCCAUCCUAAAUACCUUGGUGUCACCUUAGACCGAACACUAACAUAUAGGAAACACUGCAUGAACACCAAGCACAAAGUAGCUGCACGCAAUAACAUCCUGCAGAAACUGAAUGGCAGCGCAUGGGGAGCAGACCCACAAGUAAUAAGAACAUCAGCCCUGGCCUUGUCUUUCUCAACUGCAGAGUAUGCCUGUCCUGUUUGGCACAAGUCUGCCCAUGCAAAGCAGGUGGACAUAGCACUGAAUAAAACAUGCAGAAUCAUCACGGGAUGCCUUAAACCUACACCUGUUGAUAAAAUCUACAAGUUAGCUGGCAUUGCCCCUCCUGACGUGCGACGGGAAGUUGCUGCUAACGGUGAGAGAAAAAAGGUCGAACAUUGUGAAAGCCACCCACUGCAUGGCUAUCACCCUCCUCCCACCAGACUCAAAUCAAGGAAGGGCUUCAUGAGAAUCACCACUGCUCUUGAUGUUCCUCCAGCAGCAGCAAGGGUGUCCCUCUGGGCAGCUAAACCUGGCAAUUCUAACUGGAUGGCCCCCCAAGAGGGUCUUCCUCCAGGGGCAAACCAAGAAUGGGCAACUUGGAAGUCCCUGAACAGACUCAGAAGUGGAGUGGGCAGAUCUAAAGACAACUUGGCAAGGUGGCACUACCUGGAGGAAUCCUCCACCUUGUGUGACUGUGGAGCUGAACAAACAACUCAGCACAUGUAUGCUUGCCCACAAUGCCCUGCCUCAUGUACGGAGGAGGAGUUGUUUAAAGCUACAGACAAUGCGGUUGCUGUUGCCUGCUUUUGGUCCAAAACUAUUUAG